AGCGAACGCUGGCGGCAGGCUUAACACAUGCAAGUCGAGCGGGCACUUUCGGGUGUCAGCGGCGGACGGGUGAGUAACGCGUGGGAACGUGCCCUCUGGUUCGGAAUAACUCAGGGAAACUUGAGCUAAUACCGGAUACGCCCUUUUGGGGAAAGGCUUGCUGCCGGAGGAUCGGCCCGCGUCUGAUUAGCUAGUUGGUGUGGUAACGGCUCACCAAGGCGACGAUCAGUAGCUGGUCUGAGAGGAUGAUCAGCCACACUGGGACUGAGACACGGCCCAGACUCCUACGGGAGGAAGCAGUGGGGAAUAUUGGACAAUGGGCGCAAGCCUGAUCCAGCCAUGCCGCGUGAGUGAUGAAGGCCUUAGGGUUGUAAAGCUCUUUUAUCCGGGACGAUAAUGACGGUACCGGAGGAAUAAGCCCCGGCUAACUUCGUG
This 435-nucleotide ribosomal RNA is filed under the name uncultured bacterium. RNAcentral describes it as "partial 16S ribosomal RNA". It matches the Rfam family "Bacterial small subunit ribosomal RNA", at positions 29 to 507 of the family's 1533-position model. The record is from RNAcentral.